RNAcentral lists this ribosomal RNA (484 nucleotides) under uncultured bacterium. RNAcentral's name for it is "partial 16S ribosomal RNA". It matches the Rfam family "Bacterial small subunit ribosomal RNA", at positions 30 to 507 of the family's 1533-position model. The record is from RNAcentral.
AUUGAACGCUGGCGGAAUGCUUUACACAUGCAAGUCGAACGGCAGCACGGGGGCAGCCCUGGUGGCGAGUGGCGAACGGGUGAGUAAUACAUCGGAACGUGCCCGGUCGUGGGGGAUAACGUAGCGAAAGUUACGCUAAUACCGCAUACGAUCUGAGGAGGAAAGCGGGGGACCUUCGGGCCUCGCGCGAUCGGAUCGGCCGAUGUCAGAUUAGGUAGUUGGUGGGGUAAAGGCCUACCAAGCCGACGAUCUGUAGCUGGUCUGAGAGGACGACCAGCCACACUGGGACUGAGACACGGCCCAGACUCCUACGGGAGGCAGCAGUGGGGAAUUUUGGACAAUGGGCGCAAGCCUGAUCCAGCCAUUCCGCGUGCAGGACGAAGGCCUUCGGGUUGUAAACUGCUUUUGUACGGAACGAAAAGGCUCUGGCUAAUACCUGGGGCUCAUGACGGUACCGUAAGAAUAAGCACCGGCUAACUACGUG